GAUGAACGCUGGCGGCGUGCCUAAUACAUGCAAGUCGAGCGAACAGACGAGGAGUUUGCUCCUCUGACGUUUGCGGCGCACGGGUGAGUAACACGUGGAUAACCUACCUAUAAGACUGGGAUAACUUCGGGAAACCGGAGCUAAUACCGGAUAACAUCUUGAACCGCAUUGUUCAAUAGUGAAAGACGGUUUUGCUGUCACUUAUAGAUGGAUCCGCGCCGCAUUAGCUAGUUGGUAAGGUAACGGCUUACCAAGGGGAGGACGCGUAGCCGACCUCAGAGGGGACGCGGCGACACUGGAACGGAGGCAUGAUCCACAACCCUGCGAGAGGCAGACGUCGGGAAUCUUCCGGAAUGGGAGAAGUGGGGACGGAGCAACGAUGGGCGAGUGCUGAAGGUAUUAGGACCGAGAAACUGAUUAAUGAGGGAAGAUCAAAUGGGUAAGUAACUAAGCACGUCAUGAAGGUAACUAACCAGAAAGGCACGGCUAACUACGUG
This 497-nucleotide ribosomal RNA is filed under the name uncultured bacterium. RNAcentral describes it as "partial 16S ribosomal RNA". It matches the Rfam family "Bacterial small subunit ribosomal RNA", at positions 28 to 507 of the family's 1533-position model. The record is from RNAcentral.